Molecule: ribosomal RNA, 427 nt
Filed under: uncultured Methylococcaceae bacterium
Lineage: Bacteria; Pseudomonadati; Pseudomonadota; Gammaproteobacteria; Methylococcales; Methylococcaceae
Description: bacterial SSU rRNA
Rfam family: Bacterial small subunit ribosomal RNA
Source: RNAcentral
UGGGGAAUAUUGGACAAUGGGCGAAAGCCUGAUCCAGCAAUACCGCGUGUGUGAAGAAGGCCUGAGGGUUGUAAAGCACUUUCAAUUGGGAGGAAUACCUGCUGAGAUAAUAUCAGGCAGAUUGACAUUACCUUUAGAAGAAGCACCGGCUAACUCCGUGCCAGCAGCCGCGGUAAUACGGAGGGUGCAAGCGUUAAUCGGAAUUACUGGGCGUAAAGCGUACGUAGGCGGUUAGUUAAGUUAGAUGUGAAAGCCCCGGGCUUAACCUGGGAACUGCAUUUAAAACUGGCUAACUAGAGUUAAGUAGAGGGGAGUGGAAUUUCAGGUGUAGCGGUGAAAUGCGUAGAGAUCUGAAGGAACACCAGUGGCGAAGGCGACUCCCUGGACUUGAACUGACGCUGAGGUACGAAAGCGUGGGUAGCAAACG